UGGCACUGCGAUGCAUAGNUNUAAUUGAUCAUGGCUCAGAACACGCUGUUANGCGUGCCUAACACAUGCAAGUCGAACGAGAAAGUGGAGCAAUCCAUGAGUAAAGUGGCGAACGGGUGAGUAACACGUGACUACCUACCCUUGAGUGGGGGAUAACCCCGGGAAACCGGGGCUAAUACCGCAUAAUCUCGCAAGAGCAAAUGCGCAAGCAGCUUAAGGAAGGGGUCGCGGCUGAUUAGCUAGUUGGUUGANGUAACGGCUCACCAAGCGAUGAUCAGUAGCCGGCCUGAGAGGGCGCAUGGCACACUGGAACUGAAACACGGUCCAGAAUCCUACGGGANGCAGC
RNAcentral lists this ribosomal RNA (346 nucleotides) under uncultured bacterium. RNAcentral's name for it is "bacterial SSU rRNA". It matches the Rfam family "Bacterial small subunit ribosomal RNA", at positions 1 to 352 of the family's 1533-position model. The record is from RNAcentral.